RNAcentral lists this ribosomal RNA (526 nucleotides) under Trigona lacteipennis. RNAcentral's name for it is "partial 16S large subunit ribosomal RNA". The stretch from base 374 to 526 matches the Rfam family "Bacterial large subunit ribosomal RNA", at positions 2473 to 2626 of the family's 2925-position model. The record is from RNAcentral. Lineage: Eukaryota; Metazoa; Arthropoda; Insecta; Hymenoptera; Apidae.
GUCUUAUUGAAAUUAAUUCUAAGUCAAUCUGCCCAAUGAAAUAUUUAAAUGGCUGCAGUAUACCUGACUGUGCAAAGGUAGCAUAAUAAUUUGGUGUUUAAUUGAAAUCUGGAAUGAAUGGAUUAAUGAAAUAUAUACUGUCUCAUAUUUAUUUAAUUAAUUUAAAUUUUUAAUAAAAAUGUUAAAAUUAUUUUAUGGGACGAUAAGACCCUAUAGAAUUUUAUAUUAAUUUUUUUUUGUACAAAAUAUAAAAUUAGAAUUAAUAUUUAAUUGGGAGAAUUAUUAAAUUUAUUAAAUUUUAAUAUUUAUUAACUUUGAUUUAAGAAAAUUUUUUGAUCUUUAAUUUAAAAUCACUAGAUUAAAUUACCUUAGGGAUAACAGCGUAAUAUUUUUUUAUAGGACAUAUAGAAAAAAAUGAUUGCGACCUCGAUGUUGAAUUAAGAUAAAUUUUAAAUGCAGGAGUUUAAUGAUUAAGUCUGUUCGACUUUUAAAAUCUUACAUGAUUUGAGUUCAAAUCGACGUAAGU